This 503-nucleotide ribosomal RNA is filed under the name uncultured bacterium. RNAcentral's name for it is "partial 16S ribosomal RNA". It matches the Rfam family "Bacterial small subunit ribosomal RNA", at positions 30 to 523 of the family's 1533-position model. The record is from RNAcentral.
AUUGAACGCUGGCGGCAGGCUUAACACAUGCAAGUCGAGCGGGGUGAUGGUGCUUGCACUAUCACUUAGCGGCGGACGGGUGAGUAAUGCUUAGGAAUCUGCCUAUUAGUGGGGGACAACAUCUCGAAAGGGAUGCUAAUACCGCAUACGUCCUACGGGAGAAAGCAGGGGAUCACUUGUGACCUUGCGCUAAUAGAUGAGCCUAAGUCGGAUUAGCUAGUUGGUGGGGUAAGGGCCUACCAAGGCGGCGAUCUGUAGCGGGUCUGAGAGGAUGAUCCGGCACGCUGGGACUGAGAAGCGGCCCAGACUCCGACGGGAGGCAGCAGUGGGGAAUAUUGGGCAAUGGGGGGAACCCUGAUGCAGCCAUGCCGCGUGUGUGGAGAAGGCCUUAUGGUUGUAAAGCACUUUAUGCGAGGAGGGGGCUCUUUCGGUUAAUACCCAAGAUGAGUGGACGUUACUCGCAGAAUAAGCACCGGCUAACUCUGUGCCAGCAGCCGCAGUAA